UCGGGUGUAACUCUUCAGUGGGAGAGCGAAGGGCCGUCCUCCAGAAAAGCCCGGCUACUACUGCCAGCACCGCGUUAUUCUAGGCCCAGCGUAUCCGGAUUAUUGGCGUAAGAGUUGUAGGCGUUUGUAGGUCUCCGUGAAGUCCGAGGCUCACCUCGAUCUGCGGUGGUACGGCAGACUAGAUUAUGUAGGGAGACUGAAUUCCUGUGUACCGUGAAUGCGCAGUAUCAGGAGGAACCGGAUGGCGAAGGCAGGUCUCUGGCAUAACUGACGCUGAGGAGCAAAGCAUGGGAGCGAACAGGAUUAGAUACCUGGUAGUCCAUGCCGUAAACGUUGGCACUAGGUGUGGGGACAUUCCACGUUUUCCGCGCCGUAGCUAACGCAUUAAGUGCCCCGCCUGGGGAGUACGGCCGCAAGGCUAAAACUCAAAGGAAUUGACGGGGGCCCGCACAAGCGGCGGAGCAUGCGGAUUAAUUCGAUGCAACGCGAAGAACCUUACCAAGGCUUGACAUGUGCCAGACCGCCGUGGAAACACGGUUUCCCCUUUGGGGCUGGUUCACAGGUGGUGCAUGGUUGUCGUCAGCUCGUGUCGUGAGAUGUUGGGUUAAGUCCCGCAACGAGCGCAACCCUCGUUCUAUGUUGCCAGCGGAUUAUGCCGGGGACUCAUAGGAGACUGCCGGGGUCAACUCGGAGGAAGGUGGGGACGACGUCAAAUCAUCAUGCCCCUUAUGUCUUGGGCUUCACGCAUGCUACAAUGGCCGGUACAAUGGGUUGCGAUACUGUGAGGUGGAGCUAAUCCCAAAAAGCCGGUCUCAGUUCGGAUUGGGGUCUGCAACUCGACCCCAUGAAGUCGGAGUCGCUAGUAAUCGCAGAUCAGCAACGCUGCGGUGAAUACGUUCCCGGGCCUUGUACACACCGCCCGUCAAGUCACGAAAGUUGGUAACACCCGAAGCCGGUGGCCUAACCCCUUGUGGGAGGGAGCCGUCGAAGGUGGGACCGGCGA
This 1003-nucleotide ribosomal RNA is filed under the name Paeniglutamicibacter psychrophenolicus. RNAcentral describes it as "bacterial SSU rRNA". It matches the Rfam family "Bacterial small subunit ribosomal RNA", at positions 419 to 1474 of the family's 1533-position model. The record is from RNAcentral. Lineage: Bacteria; Bacillati; Actinomycetota; Actinomycetes; Micrococcales; Micrococcaceae.